RNAcentral lists this ribosomal RNA (253 nucleotides) under uncultured bacterium. RNAcentral describes it as "partial 16S ribosomal RNA". It matches the Rfam family "Bacterial small subunit ribosomal RNA", at positions 524 to 776 of the family's 1533-position model. The record is from RNAcentral.
AACGUAGGAGACAAACGUUAUCCGGAGUUACUGGGCGUAAAGGGCGUGUAGGUGGUUUCGUAAGUCUGGCGUGAAAUUUUUCGGCUUAACCGGGAAAGGUCGUCGGAUACUGCGGAACUAGAGGACGGUAGAGGCGUGUGGAAUUCCUGGUGUAGCGGUGGAAUGCGCAGAUAUCAGGAGGAACACCGGUGGCGAAGGCGGUUCUCUGGGCAUUACCUGACGCUGAGGAGCGAAAGCAUGGGGAGCGAACAGG